UCCCGAAGGUGAGACCCAGCGUGCGUUCGGACAGUCCGAGCGGGCUGCGGAGCCCUCUGUCUUUUGUCCGCGCCGUUUGGUCCUACGGGCUGCGCCAAUUCCCGGUUCAGAUGGAUCUGCUGUUCCCCUAUUUGGCCACGGGGACCAGCUUACGUCCACUGUCGCCGCUACGCACACACUCACACCCCGGAACCUUAUGGCUAGCGAUGGAAGAACUCUUUCGAUUGCUCUGCUGGCCUUAAUGAAGACUGUGUUCAUCUUUGUAAGAAGAAGUUCCUGGCCAUUGUUAUUAGAAUUCCGAAAGGGGAGGUCUCCUAGUGGGGCUUCCGCAGGCUCGGGAAGUCAUGCGGAACCAGCUAGUUUGCGCUUGCCUUGUGAAACUGGCUAUAUCUAGGACCCUGGUGACUGGAUACCCAGUUUCCAAAGACUAAAGGAGUAAAGGCGGGUGCUGCCUGCCAUUCUUGGGCAAGGGCUGACCUAUGCUAUGUCUUUUUGUUACCUGCCGCCACCACCCCCAAGGACCUUAACCUCUUUUACAUGUUUUUAAGCCUGUCAUAGCAAUGGCUUCCAUAUUUCAGCCAUGGUAACUACCAAACUGUAUUUCCAAGACAGGCAUUGAUGUGAUUUGUGUAACAAGAGUCAGUACUUCAUUGUUUAUUUGCUCAUUUGUGGUUUUGAAGCAAGAUCUUACUGGGUAGGCCAUACUGGCCUCUCAUUAUCUCGCUGCCUCAACUGCCCAAGUCUUGGGAUUACAGGCGUGUGCCAAUGUGCCCCACCAGACCAUUUUUGUUUCAUUUUAAUUUGAAGUUUAAUAUUAGGCAAACUGGAGCAAUUUGAAAAAAUAGCGAGGCAGCUACAUGACCUUGGGCAGGUGCCAUCUGUUUAUCCUUGAAGUGAAGACCGUGGAGGGAAAAGCCUCCUGUGUUUUAGUUUUGGACAUCCAGUGAUUUGCAAGGGGCUGUGACUACAUUGUAAAGGGAGACACUGUGCACAUUUAAGGUCUUGGGAAAGGGAUGAGAUGGUACUGUUCAAGGAGCAUCCAGACAGUCCUGGGGACGGAGAUCCGGAAGUAAAUCCCCUAACGCAGUCAAGUUUAUAGGAGGGUCUAACAUGUUCAAUUCCUGGGAGGGUCAGUAAACUGGGAAAUACAUGCGUGAGUCUGGAUAGAUUCUCUUGAUAGAAGCCACUCUGCCUACAAGAGGAUGGGAAAGGGAAAAUAGUGUUUAAACAAAUAUUUUAUUUAAUAAAAUUUUCAUGUGUGUGAGAAAGGAGUCUUACAAAGUAGAUAACACACACACACACACCCUGGAGGGGCUGUAGAGAUAGAUGGCUUGGUGGUUGAGAGCAUUGACUUCUCCAGAGGACCCAGAUUCCGUUCCCAUCCCCCACUAUGGCACCUCCUGUAACUUCAGGGGAAAUGACAUACUUGACUGGUCUCUAUGGGCACUAGGAAUGCACAUGGCGCGCACACAGGCAAAGCACUCAAGCACAGAGAAUGGUUUUACAAAGAUGAAAACUGGAAAGGAGGAUGUUAACUGGGUCUUCAAGUCGUACAAUUAUUGAUGGAUUGCAGCUUUUUGAAUUGUCAUUUUUCUCCCCUACUCACGCGUGGCCAUUUCCACACACCUCUUCUCCCUGGAGGAGCAGAUGAGAAUAGUCCUGGCUCCCUAAGAG
This 1674-nucleotide long non-coding RNA is filed under the name Mus musculus (house mouse). RNAcentral describes it as "RIKEN cDNA 4930423D22 gene". The record is from RNAcentral. Lineage: Eukaryota; Metazoa; Chordata; Mammalia; Rodentia; Muridae.